CCAUUAACAUUUCUGCAUGUUUACGCUCUUCAUGACUGGCUUCAUUUAAAAAUUUAAAAACUCCUGGUGCCGCAACAUCGCUGCGAUCGAAGUGAAAGGCCUAGAAAAGAUAAAUGUUUUAUAAUGGAGCCACAUGCAAAGGAGUCAUAUUAUCUUCACUACGACAAUUUGGAUCAACUAAAAACAUUGAUUGCUUAAUCGUCUUUCUAAUAACUUUCUUAAUAUGUAAAACACUUACCUCCCAUGCUCAGGAACCGUUUUGUAACAUCUAUAGCCAAUUGUUUGUUCUGCAUGCCGCAGACAUAGUGUAGCGGUGCUAUGCCCCGGUCUUGGGGAACAUAAGAAGGAUCAAUUGCUUUACUAUUGCGCUCCAAUAUAAAAUUGAUAUCACUUUAAAGAAAAUAAUUGUUACUAAGACGAUAUAUAUUUAAAUUAUUUAAUCCACCUUUCAUUUUCAUCCUCUAAGGCGUCUAAUAGAAUCAAUGAUAAAUAA
Lucilia cuprina (Australian sheep blowfly) is the source of this 493-nucleotide long non-coding RNA. RefSeq lists it as uncharacterized. The record is from RefSeq and is a predicted model, not a curated record. Lineage: Eukaryota; Metazoa; Arthropoda; Insecta; Diptera; Calliphoridae. The transcript is spliced from 2 exons.